This 102-nucleotide non-coding RNA is filed under the name Paenalicyclobacillus ferrooxydans. RNAcentral describes it as "Alicyclobacillus ferrooxydans TPP sequence". It matches the Rfam family "TPP riboswitch aptamer (THI element)". From Rfam's summary of the family: Vitamin B(1) in its active form thiamin pyrophosphate (TPP) is an essential coenzyme that is synthesised by coupling of pyrimidine and thiazole moieties in bacteria. The previously detected thiamin-regulatory element, thi box was extended, resulting in a new, highly conserved RNA secondary structure, the THI element, which is widely distributed in eubacteria and also occurs in some archaea. Analysis of operon structures identified a large number of new candidate thiamin-regulated genes, mostly transporters, in various prokaryotic organisms. Lineage: Bacteria; Bacillati; Bacillota; Bacilli; Caryophanales; Alicyclobacillaceae. The record is from Rfam by way of RNAcentral.
AUUUGGCGCUAGGGGUGCCUGUGUGGCUGAGAAGCGUAGAGACGCUAACCCUUGAGACUCGAUCUGGGUAAUACCAGCGGGAGGAAGUGCUUGACAUCGAAC